Molecule: ribosomal RNA, 460 nt
Filed under: uncultured bacterium
Lineage: Bacteria
Description: partial 16S ribosomal RNA
Rfam family: Bacterial small subunit ribosomal RNA
Source: RNAcentral
CCUACGGGUGGCUGCAGUGAGGAAUAUUGGUCAAUGGGCGGAAGCCUGAACCAGCCAAGUCGCGUGAGGGACGACUGCCCUAGGGGUUGUAAACCUCUUUUAUAAGGGAAUAAAAGAUGCUACGUGUAGCAUGAUGCCUGUACCUUAUGAAUAAGCAUCGGCUAACUCCGUGCCAGCAGCCGCGGUAAUACGGAGGAUCCGAGCGUUAUCCGGAUGUAUUGGGUUUAAAGGGAGCGUAGUCGGGUCUUUAAGUUAGUUGUGAAAGCGCGGGGCUCAACCCCUAAAUUGCAAUUGAUACUGUAAGCCUAGAGUUCAGAAGAGGUAGGCGGAAUUCGUGGAGUAGCGGUGAAAUGCUUAGAUAUAACGAAGAACUCCGAUAGCGAAGGCAGCCUACCGGACGGCGACUGACGCUGAGGCACGAAAGCGUGGGGAGCGAACAGGAUUAGAUACCCGAGUAGUC